Non-coding RNA from Myotis lucifugus (little brown bat), 75 nucleotides. The record is from Rfam. Lineage: Eukaryota; Metazoa; Chordata; Mammalia; Chiroptera; Vespertilionidae.
GAGACCUCUUAUGGGGCAGGACUUGCUUCAGUGGGGCUUUGGUGCUCACUGAGUCUGCCUCCUGAGCGUGUCACU